RNAcentral lists this ribosomal RNA (477 nucleotides) under uncultured Cutibacterium sp. Its description in RNAcentral is "bacterial SSU rRNA". It matches the Rfam family "Bacterial small subunit ribosomal RNA", at positions 911 to 1387 of the family's 1533-position model. Lineage: Bacteria; Bacillati; Actinomycetota; Actinomycetes; Propionibacteriales; Propionibacteriaceae. The record is from RNAcentral.
CGCCCGUGGCGCGCCCCGGGCGGGGCGGGGGCACGGGGGGAACGCGAAGAACCUUACCUGGGUUUGACAUGGAUCGGGAGUGCUCAGAGAUGGGUGUGCCUCUUUUGGGGUCGGUUCACAGGUGGUGCAUGGCUGUCGUCAGCUCGUGUCGUGAGAUGUUGGGUUAAGUCCCGCAACGAGCGCAACCCUUGUUCACUGUUGCCAGCACGUUAUGGUGGGGACUCAGUGGAGACCGCCGGGGUCAACUCGGAGGAAGGUGGGGAUGACGUCAAGUCAUCAUGCCCCUUAUGUCCAGGGCUUCACGCAUGCUACAAUGGCUGGUACAGAGAGUGGCGAGCCUGUGAGGGUGAGCGAAUCUCGGAAAGCCGGUCUCAGUUCGGAUUGGGGUCUGCAACUCGACCUCAUGAAGUCGGAGUCGCUAGUAAUCGCAGAUCAGCAACGCUGCGGUGAAUACGUUCCCGGGCCUUGUACACACCG